CCUACGGGAGGCAGCAGUGAGGAAUAUUGGUCAAUGGGCGCGAGCCUGAACCAGCCAAGUAGCGUGAAGGAUGACUGCCCUACGGGUUGUAAACUUCUUUUAUAAAGGAAUAAAGUGAGGCACGUGUGCCUUUUUGUAUGGACUUUAUGAAUAAGGAUCGGCUAACUCCGUGCCAGCAGCCGCGGUAAUACGGAGGAUCCGAGCGUUAUCCGGAUUUAGUGGGUUGAAAGGGAGCGUAGAGGGGUUGUUAAGUCAGUUGUGAAAGUUUGCGGCUCAACCGGAAAAUUGCAAUUGAUACUGGACACCUUGAGUACCGUUGAGGUAGGCGGAAUUCGUGUUGUAGCGG
This 346-nucleotide ribosomal RNA is filed under the name uncultured bacterium. RNAcentral describes it as "partial 16S ribosomal RNA". It matches the Rfam family "Bacterial small subunit ribosomal RNA", at positions 338 to 681 of the family's 1533-position model. The record is from RNAcentral.